GUCCGCACCGUAAACGAUGGAUACUAGGUGUCCGGGGCUUCGGCCCUGGGUGCCCAAGGGAAACCGAUAAGUAUCCCACCUGGGGAGUACGUCCGCAAGGAUGAAACUCAAAGGAAUUGACGGGGGCCCGCACAAGCGGUGGAGCAUGUGGUUUAAUUCGAUGAUACGCGAGAAACCUUACCUGGGCUAGAAUGCCCUCGACCGCCCCGGAAACGGGGUCUCCCUUCGGGCGAGGUGCAAGGUGCUGCAUGGCUGUCGU
Molecule: ribosomal RNA, 259 nt
Filed under: uncultured bacterium
Lineage: Bacteria
Description: partial 16S ribosomal RNA
Rfam family: Bacterial small subunit ribosomal RNA
Source: RNAcentral